This 62-nucleotide ribosomal RNA is filed under the name Maxillaria schweinfurthiana. RNAcentral describes it as "partial 26S ribosomal RNA". The record is from RNAcentral. Lineage: Eukaryota; Viridiplantae; Streptophyta; Magnoliopsida; Asparagales; Orchidaceae.
GCGACCCCAGGAUGGGCGAGGCCACCCGCCGAGUUUAAGCAUAACAAUAAGCGGAGGAGAAG